GCUGCUGCUUCUGCACCUCCUCACAUCCCCAGAUAUCCCCCACAUGCCCACACCAUGGCAAUUGUCCCUCUGCAUCGCUCGUUUUCCUGUCAUACCCCACACAUUUUUCAUUACACACUCUGUCCCUUGCAGCAAACGAAAUUUUUGGAUGCGCCUCGCGCGUCUUGCCACGGCGGCUUGUACUUUGCCACACUCACACAAUCAGCCACUCACACACACACACACACACCGGCACACUCGACCACACACACACCAAUGCGACACCAAUACAGAUGGCCAUAGUGAAACACACACAUGUGGCCAAACAAUAUAAAUCACCAGCACUCACACACAGAAACGUGGUGGAGUUUUGAGGGGCGACCGACCGACCAGGAAGUAGGAUGAAAUAUCG
Drosophila melanogaster (fruit fly) is the source of this 391-nucleotide non-coding RNA. NCBI's taxonomy places the organism in Eukaryota, Metazoa, Arthropoda, Insecta, Diptera, Drosophilidae. The record is from Ensembl.